This 253-nucleotide ribosomal RNA is filed under the name uncultured prokaryote. Its description in RNAcentral is "partial 16S ribosomal RNA". It matches the Rfam family "Bacterial small subunit ribosomal RNA", at positions 524 to 776 of the family's 1533-position model. The record is from RNAcentral.
GACAGAGGUCCCGAGCGUUGUUCGGAUUCAUUGGGCGUAAAGGGUGUGUAGGAGGUCGGGUAAGUCAGGUGUGAAAUCUCAGAGCUUAACUCUGAAGCUGCGCUUGAUACUGCUCGGCUAGAGGAUCGGAGGGGGUAACGGAAUUCAUGGUGUAGCAGUGAAAUGCGUAGAUAUGUGGAAGAACACCGGUGGUGAAGACGGUUUACUGGGCUAUAACUGACGCUGAGGCGCGAAAGCAUGGGGAGCAAACAGG